CCCUUAGACGUUCUGGGCCGCACGCGCGCUACACUGACGAAGGCAACGAGCUUUCCUUUACCGAAAGGUACGGGUAAUCUUUUGAAACUUCGUCGUGCUGGGGAUAGAUCCUUGCAAUUUUUGAUCUUAAACGAGGAAUGCCUAGUAAGCGCAAGUCAUCAACUUGCGUUGAUUACGUCCCUGCCCUUUGUACACACCGCCCGUCGCUACUACCGAUUGAAUGGUUUAGUGAGGCCUUCGGAUCCGCGACUCGUUUGUGGAGAAGUUGGACAGACUCAGUCAUUUAGAGGAAGUAAAAGUCGUAACA
Molecule: ribosomal RNA, 307 nt
Filed under: uncultured eukaryote
Lineage: Eukaryota
Description: partial 18S ribosomal RNA
Rfam family: Eukaryotic small subunit ribosomal RNA
Source: RNAcentral